UUAAGCGACUAAGCGUACACGGUGGAUGCCCUGGCAGUCAGAGGCGAUGAAGGGCGUGCUAAUCUGCGAUAAGCGCCGGUAAGGUGAUAUGAACCGUUAUAACCGGCGAUACCCGAAUGGGGAAACCCAGUGUGAUUCGUCACACUAUCAUUAACUGAAUCCAUAGGUUAAUGAGGCGAACCGGGGGAACUGAAACAUCUAAGUACCCCGAGGAAAAGAAAUCAACCGAGAUUCCCCCAGUAGCGGCGAGCGAACGGGGAGGAGCCCAGAGCCUGAAUCAGCAUGUGUGUUAGUGGAAGCGUCUGGAAAGGCGCGCGAUACAGGGUGACAGCCCCGUACACAAAAGCGCAUGUGCUGUGAGCUCGAUGAGUAGGGCGGGACACGUGGUAUCCUGUCUGAAUAUGGGGGGACCAUCCUCCAAGGCUAAAUACUCCUGACUGACCGAUAGUGAACCAGUACCGUGAGGGAAAGGCGAAAAGAACCCCGGCGAGGGGAGUGAAAAAGAACCUGAAACCGUGUACGUACAAGCAGUGGGAGCACAGGUUUACCUGUGUGACUGCGUACCUUUUGUAUAAUGGGUCAGCGACUUAUAUUCUGUAGCAAGGUUAACCGUAUAGGGGAGCCGGAGGGAAACCGAGUCUUAAUUGGGCGUUAAGUUGCAGGGUAUAGACCCGAAACCCGGUGAUCUAGCCAUGGGCAGGUUGAAGGUUGGGUAACACUAACUGGAGGACCGAACCGACUAAUGUUGAAAAAUUAGCGGAUGACCUGUGGCUGGGGGUGAAAGGCCAAUCAAACCGGGAGAUAGCUGGUUCUCCCCGAAAGCUAUUUAGGUAGCGCCUCGUGAAUUCAUCUCCGGGGGUAGAGCACUGUUUCGGCUAGGGGGCCAUCCCGGCUUACCAACCCGAUGCAAACUGCGAAUACCGGAGAAUGUUAUCACGGGAGACACACGGCGGGUGCUAACGUCCGUCGUGAAGAGGGAAACAACCCAGACCGCCAGCUAAGGUCCCAAAGUCAUGGUUAAGUGGGAAACGAUGUGGGAAGGCCCAGACAGCCAGGAUGUUGGCUUAGAAGCAGCCAUCAUUUAAAGAAAGCGUAAUAGCUCACUGGUCGAGUCGGCCUGCGCGGAAGAUGUAACGGGGCUAAACCAUGCACCGAAGCUGCGGCAGCGAACGUAUCACCCAAGACAACUUUACGGAGUUGACGAUUGACGGAGCGAAGCGACGUCAAAGCGUUCAUUAAAGUCGAGUUGGCUUAGGGAUACGUUCGUUGGGUAGGGGAGCGUUCUGUAAGCCUGUGAAGGUGUGUCGUGAGGCAUGCUGGAGGUAUCAGAAGUGCGAAUGCUGACAUAAGUAACGAUAAAGCGGGUGAAAAGCCCGCUCGCCGGAAGACCAAGGGUUCCUGUCCAACGUUAAUCGGGGCAGGGUGAGUCGACCCCUAAGGCGAGGCCGAAAGGCGUAGUCGAUGGGAAACGGGUUAAUAUUCCCGUACUUGGUGUUACUGCGAAGGGGGGACGGAGAAGGCUAUGUUGGCCGGGCGACGGUUGUCCCGGUUUAAGCGUGUAGGUGUGUGUUCCAGGUAAAUCCGGUUCACUUUAACACUGAGGCGUGACGACGAGGCACUACGGUGCUGAAGCAACAAAUGCCCUGCUUCCAGGAAAAGCCUCUAAGCAUCAGGUAACAUCAAAUCGUACCCCAAACCGACACAGGUGGUCAGGUAGAGAAUACCAAGGCGCUUGAGAGAACUCGGGUGAAGGAACUAGGCAAAAUGGUGCCGUAACUUCGGGAGAAGGCACGCUGACACGUAGGUGAAGUGAUUUACUCAUGGAGCUGAAGUCAGUCGAAGAUACCAGCUGGCUGCAACUGUUUAUUAAAAACACAGCACUGUGCAAACACGAAAGUGGACGUAUACGGUGUGACGCCUGCCCGGUGCCGGAAGGUUAAUUGAUGGGGUCAGCGCAAGCGAAGCUCCUGAUCGAAGCCCCGGUAAACGGCGGCCGUAACUAUAACGGUCCUAAGGUAGCGAAAUUCCUUGUCGGGUAAGUUCCGACCUGCACGAAUGGCGUAAUGAUGGCCAGGCUGUCUCCACCCGAGACUCAGUGAAAUUGAACUCGCUGUGAAGAUGCAGUGUACCCGCGGCAAGACGGAAAGACCCCGUGAACCUUUACUAUAGCUUGACACUGAACAUUGAGCCUUGAUGUGUAGGAUAGGUGGGAGGCUUUGAAGUGUGGACGCCAGUCUGCAUGGAGCCGACCUUGAAAUACCACCCUUUAAUGUUUGAUGUUCUAACGUGGACCCGUAAUCCGGGUUGCGGACAGUGUCUGGUGGGUAGUUUGACUGGGGCGGUCUCCUCCUAAAGAGUAACGGAGGAGCACGAAGGUUGGCUAAUCCUGGUCGGACAUCAGGAGGUUAGUGCAAUGGCAUAAGCCAGCUUGACUGCGAGCGUGACGGCGCGAGCAGGUGCGAAAGCAGGUCAUAGUGAUCCGGUGGUUCUGAAUGGAAGGGCCAUCGCUCAACGGAUAAAAGGUACUCCGGGGAUAACAGGCUGAUACCGCCCAAGAGUUCAUAUCGACGGCGGUGUUUGGCACCUCGAUGUCGGCUCAUCACAUCCUGGGGCUGAAGUAGGUCCCAAGGGUAUGGCUGUUCGCCAUUUAAAGUGGUACGCGAGCUGGGUUUAGAACGUCGUGAGACAGUUCGGUCCCUAUCUGCCGUGGGCGCUGGAGAACUGAGGGGGGCUGCUCCUAGUACGAGAGGACCGGAGUGGACGCAUCACUGGUGUUCGGGUUGUCAUGCCAAUGGCACUGCCCGGUAGCUAAAUGCGGAAGAGAUAAGUGCUGAAAGCAUCUAAGCACGAAACUUGCCCCGAGAUGAGUUCUCCCUGAGACUUAGAGUCUCCUGAAGGAACGUUGAAGACGACGACGUUGAUAGGCCGGGUGUGUAAGCGCAGCGAUGCGUUGAGCUAACCGGUACUAAUGAACCGUGAGGCUUAACCUU
RNAcentral lists this ribosomal RNA (2990 nucleotides) under Salmonella enterica. RNAcentral describes it as "bacterial LSU rRNA". It matches the Rfam family "Bacterial large subunit ribosomal RNA". The record is from RNAcentral. RNAcentral also lists the same sequence under 3 other names. Lineage: Bacteria; Pseudomonadati; Pseudomonadota; Gammaproteobacteria; Enterobacterales; Enterobacteriaceae.